GUGGAGAUACUGGGAGGACUGGGAUGGACUGGGAGAGACUGGGGGGACUGGGAUGGACUGGGGGACUGGGAAUACUGGGACAGACUAGGGAGCACUGGGACAGACUGGGAGAAACUGGGAGAUACUGGGACUGAAUGGGAGUUCUGGGAAUACUGGGAGGACUGGAAGAGACUGGGGGACUGGAGAUACUGGGAAGCACUGGGACCGACUGGGAGCUGUGGGGCAGACUGGGGUGGACUGGGGAUACCGGGAGAACUGGGACAAACUGGGAUGAACUGGGAGUUCUGGAACCCCGGGAGACCGCAGAGCAGGAUGUGGGGGUAGUGGUGCACGCUGGGUAUGGGGAACUGGGAGCACUGGUGCGUACUGGUGUCACUGGUGCAGUGCUCUGCCC
Molecule: long non-coding RNA, 394 nt
Filed under: Numida meleagris (helmeted guineafowl)
Lineage: Eukaryota; Metazoa; Chordata; Aves; Galliformes; Numididae
Description: lncRNA (ENSNMEG00000003670.1)
Source: RNAcentral